GACGAACGCUGGCGGCGUGCCUAACACAUGCAAGUCGAACGGAGAUUUCAGCAAUGGAAUUUUAGUGGCGAACGGGUGAGUAACGCGUAGACAACCUACCUUCUAGCUGGGGACAACACUGCGAAAGUGGUGCUAAUACCGAAUGUUGUAUUUUGAGUGCAUACUUAAAAUACUAAAGGUGGCCUCUAUUUAUAAGCUAUCACUAGAAGAUGGGUCUGCAUCUGAUUAGCUAGUUGGUGAGGUAACGGCUCACCAAGGCGACGAUCAGUAGCCGGUCUGAGAGGAUGAACGGCCACACUGGGACUGAGACACGGCCCAGACUCCUACGGGAGGCAG
Molecule: ribosomal RNA, 336 nt
Filed under: uncultured Bacillota bacterium
Lineage: Bacteria; Bacillati; Bacillota
Description: bacterial SSU rRNA
Rfam family: Bacterial small subunit ribosomal RNA
Source: RNAcentral